UACGUAGGGUGCAAGCGUUGUCCGGAAUUAUUGGGCGUAAAGAGCUCGUAGGCGGUCUGUCGCGUCGGAUGUGAAAAUCCAGGGCUCAACCCUGGACCUGCAUUCGAUACGGGCAGACUAGAGUUCGGUAGGGGAGACUGGAAUUCCUGGUGUAGCGGUGAAAUGCGCAGAUAUCAGGAGGAACACCCGUGGCUAAGGCGGCUCUCUAGUACGGUACUGACGCUGAGACGCGAAAGCGUGGGGAGCGAACAGG
Molecule: ribosomal RNA, 253 nt
Filed under: uncultured bacterium
Lineage: Bacteria
Description: partial 16S ribosomal RNA
Rfam family: Bacterial small subunit ribosomal RNA
Source: RNAcentral